UGGGGAAUCUUGCGCAAUGGGCGAAAGCCUGACGCAGCGACGCCGCGUGAGUGAUGAGGGCCUUCGGGUUGUAAAGCUCUGUGGGGAGAGAAGAAUAAGUGCGGGCUAAUACCCCGCAUGAUGACGGUAUCUCCUUAGCAAGCACCGGCUAACUCUGUGCCAGCAGCCGCGGUAAGACAGAGGGUGCAAACGUUGUUCGGAAUUACUGGGCGUAAAGCGAGUGUAGGCGGUUUGGUAAGUCGGAUGUGAAAGCCCCGGGCUCAACCCGGGAAGUGCAUUCGAUACUGCCAAGCUAGAGUAUCGGAGAGGUUGGUGGAAUUCUCGGUGUAGAGGUGAAAUUCGUAGAUAUCGAGAGGAACACCGGUGGCGAAGGCGGCCAACUGGACGAAUACUGACGCUGAGACUCGAAAGCGUGGGGAGCAAACAGGAUUAGAUACCCAGGUAGUCCCUGAGCGGGCUGGCAAGGCGCAU
This 471-nucleotide ribosomal RNA is filed under the name uncultured bacterium. Its description in RNAcentral is "bacterial SSU rRNA". It matches the Rfam family "Bacterial small subunit ribosomal RNA", at positions 355 to 825 of the family's 1533-position model. The record is from RNAcentral.